GACGAACGCUGGCGGCGUGCUUAACACAUGCAAGUCGAACGGGAUAAGUUGAGAGCUUGCUCUUAGAGAAUCUAGUGGCAAACGGGUGAGUAACACGUAGACAACCUGCCGACAGGAUGUGGACAACAUUCCGAAAGGAAUGCUAAUACCGAAUGAAGCGGAUGAGAGGCAUCUCUCCUCCGUGAAAGAUGGCCUCUGAAUAUGCUAUCACCUGUCGAUGGGUCUGCGUCUGAUUAGCUAGUUGGUGAGGUAACGGCUCACCAAGGCGACGAUCAGUAGCCGCUCCGAGAGCAUGCACGGCCACAUUGGGACUGAGCCAGGGCCCAGACUCCCCAGGGAGGCAGCAGUGGGGAAUCUUCCGCAAUGGGCGCAAGCCUGACGGAGCAACGCCGCGUGGGUGAAGAAGGUCUUCGGAUCGUCAAGCUCUGUUGACGGGGACGAACGUGCGAAGGGUGAAUACUCCUUUGUAAUGACGGUCCCUGUCCAGGAAGCCACGGCUAACUACGUG
This 508-nucleotide ribosomal RNA is filed under the name uncultured bacterium. RNAcentral's name for it is "partial 16S ribosomal RNA". It matches the Rfam family "Bacterial small subunit ribosomal RNA", at positions 28 to 507 of the family's 1533-position model. The record is from RNAcentral.